CUUAUAACAGGUUUGACAAAUUAUGACAAUGUAAAGAACAUCCCUCUAGCUCCGAUAGAGGAGUCAUCUAGGAGCGAAGGCAGUCCCAAUAUAAAACGAUAUGCUAGAUGAUUUGAUAGACAAACGGAAGUUUCACAUUUUCUCAGUAUUCUACAGCAAGCACGAUAUUCAUGCAGAGUAAGCGAAGAAGAUGCCGAACAUGAGAUGGGAUCAUUCAAAACUAUAUAUAUAUACAAUCAGUUAUAAAUGACAACUUUGGUAGUUGGUAUGCAAGUAAGUCCCUGAUGCUCGGAACAUCUUCAAGAGAGAGCUCACGCCCCAGCUGCAUUCUUGUUGAUUUCAAGGCAUCCUGGCAAGAAAAGAUAAAUAAAGAGAAGUGUUUGAAGAUGUUUCAAUAAAAGACAGAGGAAAGUUUCAACAGUACCUCAUAAUAGUAACUAGGCCGACAAACAUAAGGAACUUAUCUUUGGUAACUUACAAUAAAUUCCACAUAUGACUACACAAUAAAGACUACUCAAAGCCAUUUUCUCUUCUUUAACCGGUCCAAGAACCUGACCUACUUUACACUCUAUAUGUAAAGCCUCGGAUUUAACUUAUUAGAUAUUGUCCGCUUUGGUAUAUUCCAUAGUGAGUUUCACGAUUUUGUUCUUCGGUGUACAAGCGGCUACUUCCCCGGGAAGUUACCUAUCUUGCUAGUGCUUUAGCCUGGAAUCGCUAAAUUUGUCCUUAAAUCCAGCUUUCGCAACUCUUAGGACUUGUCUUUAUAGAGGCUUGUUACAUGACUCUUACUCAUAAAUUUCUCAUAAAUAUAUCUAACAUUGCAUGGAUGCUCGCAAGGACACUGGCAGACUAUGGUGUCACACCCCAAAAUCAAUAAGAGUGGCGGAUGACAUGACCAUUUUUCCUCCUAAAGAACGCAACCUCAAAACUCCUAAAAUCCUACUCCAAAAAUUGAAAGAUAGAGGAGUGAGCAGCCACAGCUCAACGAGUAGUGCAUCUCUUCUAAGCGGAUCAAGCAUCCAUUAUGCAUAUUUACAAAACCAAAUUGCAACUCUUUUCACCCAAAUUCAAGAUAUUAAAAACACACAGCAAAAAAAUAAGUUACACACGCUUCAAUAUAGCUAUAUUUAUAACAAAAAAAAUCAUUUCAUAAUAACAUCAAAAUAAACAUCAAUGGUCUAAUCCAUUGAUCAAUCUCAUUAAUUCACACACUAAUAGUCCAUUCAAUUAAUUAAUCUUAUGCCACAUAUCAAUGAUCUAAUGAAAUUACACGUCAAUGGUCAAUUCCAACGAUUAAUCUCAAAUUAUACAUCGAUGGUACAUUCCAUCUACCAAACUCAUAUCAUAUGUCAAUGGUCUGCUCCAUUGACCAAUCCGUUACUCAAUAUCAAAUCAUGGUCACGAUACAACUCCUAGUGACGAGGCGACCAAGAUUCCCCCAUUGGCAAUGUCUCCACCUAUUAUUAACCGGUAGUUUGGCCCACAAGGAUAUCCUAGACUAGUAUACGCAUACACACAAGCCCUUUGCUAGGCUUACAACAAUAUUGAGCAUCAAUAUCAAUCCCAAACAACACCAUCCACAAUUCACAAAAUCAAAUCCAUAAAUCAUUUUAUAUAUCACCAAAAGAUUUAGCAACUUAACUCAUCCACCAAAAAUACUUUUCAUAAAACAUCUCAAAUAAUUUCAAAACUCGCAUCAUAAAUCAAUUUUACCAAUCGAAUCAAAUCAAAUACAUUUCAAAAAACUUAUCACAAAUCGAGAUCUAUAUAACAUUCCAUAAACCAUUUCAAAGUCGAGAUUUUCGUAAAAAGGUUUCACAAACCCAAAACAUGUAAUAUUUCUCAACUUCAUUCAUCAAACGAAAUAUAUAUUUCCACAAAAAAGUUCUGACACUACUCAAAUACCAAAACGUAGUAUAUGCCCGAUCCAAAUUUUAUGCAACAAACAUGUUUAUUCAUAACUCAUAAAAUAUCAAAUCUUUAUAGUUUUGAAAACAUAAGUUUAUAUCUUACGAUUAAAUUACAAGCGUUACUUGAAUCGUCAAACUCGCAAUCCUAUCACAUAAAUGAUAAACAACGUUAAAAUCGAGUGAAACAAUACCUCAACUAUGACUUGAUCAAACUAAGCAUGAGCACUUAGAAAAUGACUCCUAUGUGCCAAUAAAUCGCUAAACCAAAUCAAUUACUCGAAGCUGUCCAUAGCGCGAAACUUGAGCAUGAAACUUUAUCAUGCCAUAAUUUUCUCCACCAAACUCCGUUUCAAGCUAACUUAUAGUCAAUGGAAAGCCCAACCAACGUACUACAAGAACCCCAAUUUAACAAACCCAAAAUCAAGCUGAAAAUUAACAAAAAAAAAUACGGCCCGAAGUCCUGGUUGCGCACUGUACAUCAUGCACGAUAAACUUCAAAAUUUUGUUUUGGGCAAAUUGUAAACUCAAAUCAUAAUCCAUAAAAUCCUAAAGCUUCAUAACAUCCUAAAUUAUCAUUUCUACAAAAAUACGUAGCUCAACCACUCAAAAAUCAUACUUCGCCACUUGAUUUUCACAAAAUUUCAAAUUUCAAACCUAGGUCCGAAAUUACUCCGAUUGAAUGAACAGGCGACAUGAGUGCUUACCAGGAAUUACCUUACAUAGUUAAGGUGGCUUGGCGAGGUUGCCAUGAUGAAAACGCACAAACCCCUUUUCUUCUUCUUCUUCCUCUCUUCCUCUUUCUUUCUUUGAGCGCAAGCUCGCUGCUCUCCCUUUCUCUCUCUCCUCCUUUUUCUUUCUCUGUUUCCUUUUAUCUCC
Molecule: long non-coding RNA, 2786 nt
Filed under: Eucalyptus grandis
Lineage: Eukaryota; Viridiplantae; Streptophyta; Magnoliopsida; Myrtales; Myrtaceae
Description: long non-coding RNA (EGRA_LNC000298)
Source: RNAcentral